This 468-nucleotide ribosomal RNA is filed under the name uncultured bacterium. RNAcentral describes it as "partial 16S ribosomal RNA". It matches the Rfam family "Bacterial small subunit ribosomal RNA", at positions 28 to 507 of the family's 1533-position model. The record is from RNAcentral.
GACGAACGCUGGCGGCGUGCUUAACACAUGCAAGUCGAACGGAAAGGCCCUGCUUUUGUGGGGUGCUCGAGUGGCGAACGGGUGAGUAACACGUGAGUAACCUGCCCUUGACUUUGGGAUAACUUCAGGAAACUGGGGCUAAUACCGGAUAGGAGCUCCUGCUGCAUGGUGGGGGUUGGAAAGUUUCGGCGGUUGGGGAUGGACUCGCGGCUUAUCAGCUUGUUGGUGGGGUAGUGGCUUACCAAGGCUUUGACGGGUAGCCGGCCUGAGAGGGUGACCGGCCACAUUGGGACUGAAAUACGGCCCAGACUCCUACGGGAGGCAGCAGUGGGGAAUAUUGCACAAUGGGCGGAAGCCUGAUGCAGCAACGCCGCGUGCGGGAUGACGGCCUUCGGGUUGUAAACCGCGUUCGCCUGUGACGAAGCGUGAGUGACGGUAAUGGGUAAAGAAGCACCGGCUAACUACGUG